Molecule: ribosomal RNA, 298 nt
Filed under: uncultured bacterium
Lineage: Bacteria
Description: partial 16S ribosomal RNA
Rfam family: Bacterial small subunit ribosomal RNA
Source: RNAcentral
CUAUGCGCCUUGCCAGCCCGCUCAGGGUGCCAGCAGCCGCGGUAAUACAGAGGUCUCAAGCGUUGUUCGGAAUCACUGGGCGUAAAGCGUGCGUAGGCGGUUUCGUAAGUCGUGUGUGAAAGGCGGGGGCUCAACCCCCGGACUGCACAUGAUACUGCGAGACUAGAGUAAUGGAGGGGGAACCGGAAUUCUCGGUGUAGCAGUGAAAUGCGUAGAUAUCGAGAGGAACACUCGUGGCGAAGGCGGGUUCCUGGACAUUAACUGACGCUGAGGCACGAAGGCCAGGGGAGCGAAAGGG